GUAGGUGGCAAGCGUUGUCCGGAAUUAUUGGGCGUAAAGCGCGCGCAGGCGGUUCUUUAAGUCUGAUGUGAAAGCCCACGGCUCAACCGUGGAGGGUCAUUGGAAACUGGAGAACUUGAGUACAGAAGAGGAAAGCGGAAUUCCACGUGUAGCGGUGAAAUGCGUAGAGAUGUGGAGGAACACCAGUGGCGAAGGCGGCUUUCUGGUCUGUAACUGACGCUGAGGCGCGAAAGCGUGGGGAGCAAACAGGAUUAGAUACCCUGGUAGUCCACGCCGUAAACGAUGAGUGCUAAGUGUUAGGGGGUUUUCCGCCCCCCUUAGUGCUGCAGCUAACGCAUUAAGCACUCCGCCUGGGAGUACGGCCACAAGGCUG
This 373-nucleotide ribosomal RNA is filed under the name uncultured organism. Its description in RNAcentral is "partial 16S ribosomal RNA". It matches the Rfam family "Bacterial small subunit ribosomal RNA", at positions 527 to 896 of the family's 1533-position model. The record is from RNAcentral.